AUGUCAACAAAGAAGACAUUAGUAGCUGCUCUGGUUCCUCAGACAGAGCAGGUGUCUCCUCUGCCGCGGGUGACGCCUCCUGUGCCCGAGCCUGUGGUCGUCGGCGAUGUCAACAAAGAAGACGUUACUCCUCUGGCUCCUCUGCCGGAGCAGGUGGUGGCUGCUCAGCCUCAGCCGGGUGUUCAUCUGCCAUUGUUGUUGCCUCCCCUGCCCCCACCUGUGGUCGUCGCCGACGAGAACGAAGAAGAGGUUUUCCCUGGUCAGUACAAGGCAAAUAAGGUCCUAAGUGACGACAUUGACAGCGACCCAGAAACCCAGAGGAUCUUCAGGAGGCAGAAAUUGAGGCAGCUGAACAAUGGUUAG
Molecule: ribosomal RNA, 363 nt
Filed under: Triticum aestivum (bread wheat)
Lineage: Eukaryota; Viridiplantae; Streptophyta; Magnoliopsida; Poales; Poaceae
Description: partial small subunit ribosomal RNA
Source: RNAcentral